UGUCUCAUGGUGUAAUGGUAGCACGUCAGAUUCUGGAUCUGCCUGUCUAGGUUCGAAUCCUAGUGAGACAACCA
Molecule: transfer RNA, 74 nt
Filed under: Bacteroidales bacterium
Lineage: Bacteria; Pseudomonadati; Bacteroidota; Bacteroidia; Bacteroidales
Also listed under: 2 other names
Description: tRNA-Gln
Rfam family: tRNA
About the family: Transfer RNA (tRNA) molecules are approximately 80 nucleotides in length.
Source: RNAcentral